UUCAACACAUUCAAUAAAAACGUGGAUUAAGGAAUAAAGCAAAUGGUGCUUCUGUUUUCUUUAAAGUAAUAUUGUUGUCCUCAUUUACUUAAAAUGAACCAUAAAAAAUAAAGGUAUACAUAAGAAAAAGGAGAAGAAAUGGUCUGACUUUGCCUCAUGAAAACCUCAGUAGCAAUUUAAGAAGCAAAAUCUAAAACCAAAGGGAAGAAGUUAUACAAUUAAAUAUAAAUUUUUAAUAAGAAUUCAAGGAAAGAAACCAAGUUAUCAUCCGAUCUUCCAAUUGAGAACUUUACUAUCACUACAACAAAAAUUACAUUUAGCGACAAUCUUGUAGUGGCAAAAGCCCUAUUGCAGGCAUUUUAUGUAAAAAAAUACACUUUUUCUACAUAUUAUGAAUUUGCAUUAAUAAGUUACGUAUAGUGGCAAUUGAUGAAAAAAGACAAAAGUUUCACCGGAAAGUCUCUGUUUCCCUCUUCCUCGCCCUUACUUUCUCUUCCCUCCUCUUCAACCUCGCUCUCUUCUUCCCCAUCUGAACCCUAGCUUCAAAUCUCUCCGCUUCUGGCUCUCCGUCGGCGGCAACGUCUGAUUCGGCGGCGGCCACAUAGUCCCCUUGCCCCCACUGCCGACGUGAUCUGAAGCCUCCCUCUUAGCGGUGUUCCAAUCCUCGCAUAUCGGAGGAACUCACCGUUGCCCUGUCAUCGUCGCCGAUGUUUGCGAAAUCCGAGCACCGCAAAACCGAGGGGACGAUGUUGCAGCCGUGGCGGAUGAGGAGCCCGAAGGAGUGGAGCGAAGAGGAUGUUGAGGUUCAGGAGAAGCAGAUGGCGAAGCCAAUUGGAACAGAGCCAAUUCGCAUACUUAGCUCUCCAUUCUCGUUCAGUCGCUUGAUUCGCGUUCUAGGUUCUCGUUCACUCGUGCUCACGCUCUUGCUCUGGAUCUCUGUUUGCUCCAGAUCUUUCAAGAUCUCCAAUGGAACAUGAUGCUUAUGAGAGGAUGCAGCAAGUGAUGGACUAUAUGAAGAUGAGAAUCUAAACCACAUGAAGUGAAGCUUAUGGAGCAAGUCUUUUCAAUUUUCAAUGAUGAUUAUUCCUAUUCUUUAAUUCCCUACCUUCAACUUCUCUCUCAGAUGGAACCUUCUUUCUGUGGAUUUCUUGCAAUUGGGGGGGGGGGGGGGGUGCUUUCUAUGCUAGUAUAUUUACCAUUUCGGUUAAAAUUUCUCCUGUAUAUUUAUAGUUGUUUCAUAGUUUCAGUUUCUUGAAUUUUUGUCUCCUGCCAUGAUUAUGUUCUUUUGUAUGUUAUACUUAGACAGUUGGGCCAACUUAGCAAUGAACAGUUCUUGGUUGAUGAUUGAUGAAUUUGAAUGUCCCCAGCAACUACAAAAGUUAUACACUUCUACAAAGACGACUAAGCAUUUUCAGCGGCAUAUUGUUCACGGUAUUGAAGUAUCGUUGCUGUUAGUUCUUAGCAGAUGAAUAUAGUAAGAAAGUUGGCUAAAGACUUAUGUAAAUAUGCAACUGAGCAUCAAGACAGUACAUACCCCCUUGCAAAGGUUGUAUGUGCUGGAUUUAAGUAAAGUGUUGAACCUCCAGUUUAUUUAAGUGGAGGUCCUUAAUGAGGCCACUGCAUACUUGUGGUAUUGUAGGGUGAUUCUCUUUGUAUUGGUUGCAGGGAAGUGGAGUAAUUUGCAGUAGAAUUUUAAUGCAGUUUCGUUGGUUAAAGCAUUGCAGCUCAUGCUAUCCUUUCUCUUUUGGUUAUUGCAAAUUUGCAAUGAAGGUAUGUGGUCCCACCUAUGCUGCUCCAAGAGAUGCGGUUACGUGUCAGAUUGAGAAGGAAAUUGAGUUUGAAGCAGGGCAUGUUGACCUCUCCAAAAGGGAGCAUAAGGGACCUGAGUUCUUCAAGAUUUCAGGAGAAAGAUCAUCAACAACAACAAGAAACACACAUUACUUAGUGAUAUAUCCCCGUUGCAGAUGAUUGGAAAAUAAAACUGUGAGUUUCACAUAUAUGAAAAGAAGCCGAGCAGCAAGAGAUGAAGAUUCACAGCUAGCAAAGAAGUGGUUACAAGAGAAGCAGUUAUUGGAAGGUGGUGCAAGUUACUACAACAGUAGAUAUGCCAAGUGUAUGGCUUUAAUAUAGGAAGUUCUUUUCUGUUUUAGUAUUAUCCGUAGGAUUAAAAUAGUAGUUUUAUUCCAAGUUCUAUAAAUAGAACUUCUAUUUGUAAAAUAAUCAGAUUUCACACAUUUAGGCUCCUAGACUCUGAAAGCCAACAAGUCAAUCACAAAGACAAAUGGCAAUUAGGAGAUCAUGAGCAUGAUUGUGGUGUAAUCUCAUUUACUUUGCAUUUCAAUUCAUACUAUUUCAUCUUUUCUUC
This is a long non-coding RNA of Lotus japonicus, 2365 nucleotides long. RefSeq lists it as uncharacterized. Lineage: Eukaryota; Viridiplantae; Streptophyta; Magnoliopsida; Fabales; Fabaceae. The transcript is spliced from 9 exons. The record is from RefSeq and is a predicted model, not a curated record.